Molecule: long non-coding RNA, 473 nt
Filed under: Vigna radiata
Lineage: Eukaryota; Viridiplantae; Streptophyta; Magnoliopsida; Fabales; Fabaceae
Description: long non-coding RNA (VRAD_LNC010412)
Source: RNAcentral
AGAAAUGCGGUAUAAAGGAGAAUAUGCCGCGGUUAAGUGUAGAACCGCGACAGAUUCUCUUCUGAAGGUUAAAAAAAACUUUGUACAGUUUUCCUCCUCACGCAAUCAGUUUCAGAAAACGAAACCUCAACGUCUCUGUCGUGCCGCCUCUCUGUUGCGAGCUUUCCUCCAUUGACACCGGCCAUCCUCUCAUGCGAGCAUUCCUCCAUUACGCGAGCCAUCCUCUCUGAUGCGAGUCAUCCUCUCCGCGCACCCGUGCUUCUCCGCCGCACCUCUGCCGCAACCCUUCUUCUCCGCCGCGACAACCAGGUUUGAUAUCAAUAUUUGUUUUAUGCGAUUGAUUUUUCCGUUCUGCUUAACCUGAUUGAUUGGUGGAUGAAAUGUUCCUACAAUUGAUUUCUGGUUUUAUGCGAUUCCAUUUCAAUAACAAUUCAUGGGUGUGAUGUUGUGCAUGUUGAGUUUGGUUGGGUUGC